Molecule: long non-coding RNA, 1139 nt
Organism: Mauremys reevesii (Reeves's turtle)
Lineage: Eukaryota; Metazoa; Chordata; Testudines; Geoemydidae
Exons: 4
Source: RefSeq, a predicted model, not a curated record
CACGCAGGCUGCCGGGGGGAGGGGCUGCUGCUUAGCCCGGGCUUGUCCCCAGCCCCGGCAAGGCCCUGCCUCCGCCCGGCCAGACUGAGGGGACUCGCCACCACCUCUCCCGCGCUGCAGGGCUGAGCCUCUCUUUUUCCCGGCCUGACCAGCGCUUUUCACACACUCCGGGAGCUGCAUUUCUCCUGUCCAACGCACCCCCUUGCCUGCUGCCCGCGAUCCCUCCGCAUUGCCCCCACUGCCCUAUUCCCCGGCCACGCAGAGGGGCAGUUGUCUCCCCCCAAGCCAGGUGUCCACACCGGCCAGCAAACCAGGAGCAGGGAACGAACCUGCGUGGCUGUUUGCUCCACUCAGUGGUGCCCAGCCUGGACCAGCACGUGAGCCAUGGUCAUCCAGUGUUUCCUGUAUAGCUGCUUGCUUCCACCAUGCACCCUGACAGUUGUGCAAUGCUCUAGAGGAAUGGAAAGAACAGACCUGAAUUAUUUGAGAGUGGAAGGAGAAUAAAGGUUUAUCAUCUCCAGAAGAUCUUGGUUUAUGGACGCUGAACCAGUUUACUCUUACUCCCUUCCUGCUCACUAAGUUUGAAAUGGGUAUAAGCUAAAAUGCCUAACAAAGUACACAAAAUUCCAAGGACCUGAUUAAGUGACAGUGGAUCUUUAAACAACAGGUACCCUCCCAACAGAGUGAUGCUGAACUUGAAGUGUCCAAACAUAUUAUAUCUACACAUCUCUGUUAAGGAUCAUAACAAAUAGUCAAAAUAUUAAAAACAAACAGUGAAUCUCUUAUGCGUUCAUAUAUCUAUCCCCAAAAUGGACUACGGUUGUUCACAUCAAUUUCUAUUCACACAACUUUUCAAUUUUAUCUGUGCAAUUAUAAUUAACAACUUGCAUUUAUGUAACACCUUUCGCACAAAAUGCUUUACAAAUUAACUGAUAUUUGAUAUACAAACAGGAAUCACUUUACGCAUUUACUAUAUAGUCACCAAAACGUGUGUAAAUGUUUUAAUACUGUUAAUAUGGACACAAAGUUCUUACUACUAAAUUAACCAGAACUGUCUAUACAUACUGUGAGAAAGAACACUGAGAAACUGGAUUGUGCUUUUCCAGUUUUAACAUUCACAAUAAAGCAGGUAAAUAACA